This 253-nucleotide ribosomal RNA is filed under the name uncultured bacterium. RNAcentral's name for it is "partial 16S ribosomal RNA". It matches the Rfam family "Bacterial small subunit ribosomal RNA", at positions 524 to 776 of the family's 1533-position model. The record is from RNAcentral.
UACAGAGGGGGCAAGCGUUGUUCGGAAUUACUGGGCGUAAAGGGCGCGUAGGCGGCCGCCUAAGUCAGACGUGAAAUCCCUCGGCUCAACCGGGGAACUGCGUCUGAUACUGGGUGGCUUGAAUCCGGGAGAGGGAUGUGGAAUUCCAGGUGUAGCGGUGAAAUGCGUAGAUAUCUGGAGGAACACCGGUGGCGAAGGCGGCAGCCUGGGCCGGCACUGACGCUGAGGAGCGAAAGCGAGGGGAGCAAACGGG